RNAcentral lists this ribosomal RNA (405 nucleotides) under uncultured bacterium. Its description in RNAcentral is "partial 16S ribosomal RNA". It matches the Rfam family "Bacterial small subunit ribosomal RNA", at positions 28 to 526 of the family's 1533-position model. The record is from RNAcentral.
GAUGAACGCUGGCGGCGUGCCUAAUACAUGCAAGUCGAGCGAAGCGGGGACGGGUGAGUAACACGUGGAUAACCUCCUCUAAGCCUGGGAUAACUUCGGGCAACCGGAGCUCAACCGGAUAAUUAUCGAUGGAUCCGCGCUGCAUUAGCUAGUGGGUAAGGGAACGGCUUACCAAGGCAACGAUGACUCGCCGACCUGAUAGGGUGAUCGGCCACACUGGAACUGAGACACGGCCCAGACUCCUACGGGAGGCAGCAGGAGGGAUUCUUCCGCAAUGGGCGAAAGCCUGACGGAGCAACGCAGCGUGAGUGAUGAAGGUUUUCGGAUCGUAAAACUCUGUUAUUAGGGAAGCGGUAUCUAAUCAGAAAGCCACGGCUAACUACGUGCCAGCAGCCGCGGGAAUAC